CGAACGCUGGCGGCGUGCUUAACACAUGCAAGUCGAGCGCGAAAGGGACUUCGGUCCUGAGUAAAGUGGCGCACGGGUGAGUAACGCGUAGAUAACCUGUCUUCAUGUCUGGAAUAAUACGCCGAAAGGGGUACUAAUACCGGAUAUUCUUGCUUUUCAUAAGUUAUGCAAGCAAAGGUGGCCUCUGCAUAUGCUACUGCAUGAAGAGGGGUCUGCGUACCAUUAGCUAGUAGGUGGGGUAAUGGCCUACCUAGGCGACGAUGGUUAGCGGGUCUGAGAGGAUGAUCCGCCACACUGGCACUGGAACACGGGCCAGACUCCUACGGGAGGCAGCAGUGAGGAAUAUUGCGCAAUGGGGGAAACCCUGACGCAGCGACGCCGCGUGAGUGAGGAAGGCCUUCGGGUCGUAAAGCUCUGUCAAGAGGAAAGAAGUGUACAAUGGCUAAUACCUGUUGUAUUUGACGGUACCUCUAAAGGAAGCACCGGCUAACUCCGUGCCAGCCGCCGC
This 508-nucleotide ribosomal RNA is filed under the name uncultured bacterium. RNAcentral's name for it is "bacterial SSU rRNA". It matches the Rfam family "Bacterial small subunit ribosomal RNA", at positions 30 to 518 of the family's 1533-position model. The record is from RNAcentral.